GGAGUCUAGCAUGUGCGCGAGUCAUUGGGAUUCGUUGCUAAACCUAAAGGCGAAAUGAAAGUGAAGGCGCGCCUCGCGCGCGCCUAGGGAGGAUGGGCGAGGCUCCAGCCGUCGCCCCGCACUCCCGGGGCGUCUCGUUCUCAUCGCGAGAAGAGGCGCACCCAGAGCGUACACGCUGGGACCCGAAAGAUGGUGAACUAUGCCUGGUCAGGACGAAGUCAGGGGAAACCCUGAUGGAGGUCCGUAGCGAUUCUGACGUGCAAAUCGAUCGUCGGAACUGGGUAUAGGGGCGAAAGACUAAUCGAACCAUCUAGUAGCUGGUUCCCUCCGAAGUUUCCCUCAGGAUAGCUGGCGCUCGCUUUUUUUGCGAGUCUCAUCCGGUAAAGCGAAUGAUUAGAGGCAUUGGGGUCGAAACGGCCUCAACCUAUUCUCAAACUUUAAAUGGGUGAGAUCUCCGGCUUGCUUGAAUAAUGUGUAAUGCAUUUUACUCGUGUGAAGCCGCGAGAUCGGAUCAGAGUGCCAAGUGGGCCACUUUUGGUAAGCAGAACUGGCGCUGUGGGAUGAACCAAACGCGGAGUUAAAGCGCCUAAAUCGACGCUUAUGGGAUACCAUGAAAGGCGUUGGUAACUUAAGACAGCAGGACGGUGGCCAUGGAA
RNAcentral lists this ribosomal RNA (656 nucleotides) under Platycrepidius sp. UPOL 001418. RNAcentral describes it as "eukaryotic LSU rRNA". It matches the Rfam family "Eukaryotic large subunit ribosomal RNA", at positions 670 to 1259 of the family's 3401-position model. The record is from RNAcentral. Lineage: Eukaryota; Metazoa; Arthropoda; Insecta; Coleoptera; Elateridae.